AUGGACGGCGCAUCCAGGAGCGGGCUUGAGGCCGUGCUGCUUGGCCUGGCGCCCGUUGAGGUCAUACUCGGCACCCCUCUCUCGUUCUCUACUGAAAAGCUGAUGAGGGCAUAUGCGGGACCUGCCUCUAAUGUCCGGGUUGAGUGCACUUCGCGUGAUUGUUUCAGCGGGGGCGGCGCUUUAGCAGAACUGAUGUCUUUGUUUGAGAAAUCGGAGGUCAAUUCACAAACCAUCGAAAACGAUAAACAGAUGAUGGAAAUAAAUGAAGAGGACAACAAUCUUCGUGGGAUGGAGGGUGUCAUGGCUAUGCCAGAGCUAGUUGCCCAAGCAAUGGCAUUGAGCGUUCGCUAUUUGAAGGGUUUUGGUAUGCAGAGGUUAAUCUGCUUUGGUUCCUCGUUCCGGCCAUUUACUGCUAAUACUGAAAUGUCUCUAUCAGCAAACGCUCUUCAGCAGCUCGAGGUAUUAAAGAACAACUCAGAUGGUUCAAUAGAAGGAUCCCUGUUCCAAACUAUGAACAACACAUGUACAGCUUUUGGAUCUAGGCUGUUUAGACACUGGUUGACUCACCCCUUAUCUGAUAGAAAUCUAAUAUGUGCUCGUCACGAUGCAAUCUCUGAGAUCUCUGAAUCGAUGGGAUCACGGCAAGAUUCAGUUAGCAUUCGACAGGAUGAAGGGGAUGGGUGCUGCGCAGCUUCUGCGCGAAGUGAUCUCAGCACCAUUCUUUCAUCUGUUUUAACAAUGCUGGGAAGAUCACUUGAUUCUCAAAGAGGAAUUACAAGAAUUUUUCACUGCAAAGCCACAGCUAAAGAGUUUGUUGGGGUCAUCCAGUCUAUCUUGACGGCUGGAAAGCAACUGCGGAAGCUUGUUCUCGAGGAUACUGAUAACAUGUCUUCUCAGCAUAGAAUUGUCCACUCUUCUUUGUUGAGAAGGCUCAUAAGUACAGCUUCAUCAUCUGCUGUACUUGCUAAUGCUGUGAAACUUCUGUCGUGUCUUGACAAAGAUGCUGCUGAUCAAGGAGAUAUGAUAAACCUAUUCAUUUCAUCUAUUGACCAGUUCCCCGAGGUUGCAGAGGGUCAUGUGACUGUUGAAAUGGCCAAACAAAAACUGGAUUUAUUAAUUGUUGAAUAUCGGAAGCAGCUUGGCAUGCGCAGCUUGGAGUACAAAACCGUAUCUGGAACAGCUUACCUGAUCGAACUACCAGUAGAUAGAAGGGUGCCUACAAAUUGGAUGAAAGUAAAUAGCACCAAAAAAACUAUUAGAUACCACACUCCUGAAGUAUUGAAGAACUUGGACAACUUAUUACUGGCUAAAGAAGAACUAGCAGUUAUCUGCAGGAAAACAUGGCACAAAUUCCUUGUGGAUUUCGGCAAAUAUUAUGCGCAGUUUCAAGCAUCUGUCGAAUCUCUUGCAGCUCUUGACUGCUUAUACUCUCUUGCCACUCUUGCAAAACAAAAUAAUUAUGUACAACCUAACUUUGUUCCUGAAAAUGAAGCAAGUCAGAUCCACAUCAAAGAUGGUCGCCAUCCGGUUCUGGAGUCUCUACUUGGAGACAAUUUUGUUCCAAAUGAUACAGACCUUCAUGCAGAUGGGCAGUACUGCCAGAUUGUUACAGGACCAAACAUGGGAGGAAAAAGUUGCUAUAUUCGCCAAGUUGCACUAAUUACCAUUAUGGCCCAGGUUGGUUCCUUUGUACCAGCUUCAUCAGCAAUACUUCAUGUUGUUGAUGGAAUUUAUACUCGGAUGGGUGCAUCUGACAGUAUUCAACAAGGAACAAGUACCUUUUAUGAAGAGAUGAAUGAAGCUUCCAACAUAUUACAGAACUGCUCAUCUCGAUCCCUAGUUAUCAUUGAUGAGCUUGGUCGUGGAACAAGCACACACGAUGGUGUUGCUAUAGCCUAUGCUACAUUACACUAUCUCCUGAAAAACAAGAAAUGUAUUGUCAUUUUUGUAACUCACUAUCCAAAGAUUCUUAAUAUCCAGAGUGAAUUUGAAGGUUCCGUUGGGGCAUACCAUGUUUCAUAUCUGUCGACAAGGAAGCUGUUGCAAAUUAGUGAUGAAAAGAUGGGUAUUAGCACAGAAACAGAGGAUCUUGGAGAAAUUACUUUCUUGUAUAAACUUGUUGCUGGAGCUUCAGACAGAAGCUUUGGUCUUAAUGUCGCAUUGCUUGCGCAGGUUAGUCAUAUGUGA
Molecule: ribosomal RNA, 2187 nt
Filed under: Triticum aestivum (bread wheat)
Lineage: Eukaryota; Viridiplantae; Streptophyta; Magnoliopsida; Poales; Poaceae
Description: partial small subunit ribosomal RNA
Source: RNAcentral